UCCGCGCUAGCGAAGCAGCAGCGUUAUGGACGCCGACGGAGAGCUCACUGCCCCGGCAGAAGAGUUUUAAAAGUUUCCCCGGGACCGGCCGGGGGUGGGGGGACACUUGAGACAAGGUUGCCCCAGAAAUGCUUUGGAUGAUAUUUCAGCGACUGAUUUUACCUCUACUAACAUCUUACUCCAAUGCUAUUCCAUGGAGGUGCCCUCCUGGUUCUUAUGCUUGAGGGGCACCAUUUCUGGUAUGAUCCACAAAUUGGGAUAAUAGGGAGCAUAGGACCUGUGAUGGACUGGCUCAAGACCUACUUCAGUUAAGAGAGACCUAUCACCAGAAUAAUGACAAUGGGGGGUUAAAGUUUUUGGUCACAUCCGCUUGUGACACAUCAUCUACCAAGGUGAAAUGAGCCUUUAUCAGAUUCACAUCUAUCCAAUUCCUAAAAAUUUGAAGGGAUAUCAACCAAGUGGCCUUUCCUCUGAAUCACAAGAGUAGUUUGAAGAGGAUUUUCUUUUCCUUGUAGUUUCUUUCCCUCCCUUGUAGUUGCAUUGACUUCAUAGCCUAAACUUCCCUCAUCUAACCUAAGAGUUUUGAGAAAAGAAUUAGGGAAAUUUUUUUCUAACCACAAAACACAUGAUUUCCCAUGUGGCAGUCCUUUAGAACAAUUCCUGAGGUCUAGUCUUCCCCAUUCUUUUAGAUCAAAGGAAACCAGAAACAAAUGAAAACUAUGCACUUAACAAUGAAUUUAACUUUAAACUUCACUUAAUUUAUAAGUCAAUUCCCACACUCAGCUCUUUGUGUAGAUCUUCUACUGAAAUCCUUGGACAGAAUACCCCAUAGUUGAAUCUUGCAGAAGAUGUUAAAGUAUUAUUUACACAAUCUACUUCAAAGUAAUAACCAUUGCUUUUACUUUCUAACUUCCUAAAGUGACUCAAUGAUUAACAGGUUGAACUCUGGAUUUUUUCCAUUUAAAAAAGGAUAUACCAACCAUUCUGUAGAGCAAUUUGGAACUAUGCCACUGGGCUAUAAAA
Vombatus ursinus (common wombat) is the source of this 1023-nucleotide long non-coding RNA. RefSeq lists it as uncharacterized. Lineage: Eukaryota; Metazoa; Chordata; Mammalia; Diprotodontia; Vombatidae. The record is from RefSeq and is a predicted model, not a curated record. The transcript has 3 exons.